UAAAAAUACAUCGGAAUCCAA
Molecule: non-coding RNA, 21 nt
Filed under: Caenorhabditis elegans
Lineage: Eukaryota; Metazoa; Nematoda; Chromadorea; Rhabditida; Rhabditidae
Source: RNAcentral